UGGGGAAUUUUGGACAAUGGGGGAAACCCUGAUCCAGCCAUCCCGCGUGUGCGAUGAAGGCCUUCGGGUUGUAAAGCACUUUUUGCAGGAAAGAAACGUCAUGGGUUAAUACCCCGUGAAACUGACGGUACCUGCAGAAUAAGCACCGGCUAACUACGUGCCAGCAGCCGCGGUAAUACGUAGGGUGCAAGCGUUAAUCGGAAUUACUGGGCGUAAAGCGUGCGCAGACGGUUCGGAAAGAAAGAUGUGAAAUCCCAGAGCUCAACUUUGGAACUUCAUUUUUAACUACCGGGCUAGAGUGUGUCAGAGGGAGGUAGAAUUCCGCGUGUAGCAGUGAAAUUCAUAGAUAUGCGGAGGAACACCGAUAGCGAAGGCAGCCUCCUGGGAUAACACUGACGCUCAUGCACGAAAGCGUGGGGAGCAAACAGG
RNAcentral lists this ribosomal RNA (429 nucleotides) under Acidobacteriota bacterium. RNAcentral describes it as "Acidobacteria bacterium partial 16S ribosomal RNA". It matches the Rfam family "Bacterial small subunit ribosomal RNA", at positions 355 to 776 of the family's 1533-position model. The record is from RNAcentral. Lineage: Bacteria; Pseudomonadati; Acidobacteriota.